Molecule: long non-coding RNA, 1514 nt
Filed under: Pongo abelii (Sumatran orangutan)
Lineage: Eukaryota; Metazoa; Chordata; Mammalia; Primates; Hominidae
Description: lincRNA
Source: RNAcentral
GUUAAGUUACUAAUCACAGCAGCAGUGCUGGGAAACAUGUGUAGGAAGGAUGAGGAUGACAGGCACUAUUUUGGUGUGCUCCCCACCACAGCAAUAACAGAAAGAUAGUCCGGGUGCAGUGUCUCUCACCUGUAAUCCCAGCACUUUGGGAGGCUGAGGUGGGAGGAUCACUUGAGCCAGGAGUUCAAGACCAGCUUGGGUGACAUGAUACCGAAACUGGCAACACCCAGAGAUAUUUCCCUCCUAGUCAUAAAGGAAGCCAGUAGCAGAGCCAGAAAUAAUAUUCAAAUUCUGGAUCCACUAGACCAUAUUGCCUGUCUGACAAAGUAUAUGCUUACUUCCUGCUUCAGUUCUAUAAGGUACCCACAAUGCCGGGUUCUCUGCCCACUGGGAGCAAACAAGGGAACGUGCAGACACUGGACAGCAUACGAUGGAUGCCUGCAACUCCCAUACCUGCCCCUGACUGCCUCCAGAAAUAUGCUGUCUCUACUGAAACAGCUUUUCCAACCCUGAGCACGUUUAGUGAACACGGAAAAGAGUGUAAAGGGGUCAAAUGCAGACUUUACAAAAAGAAACCCAAGAUGGAGAUUCCUGUUUGGGAUAUACUGCAGCCUACAUCACGCUAUGACAAUUUUCAUAUAAAGAUGCUGUCUCGGAAAUAAAAGGAUUGGGAGUUUGAAUGAUCUAUGGCUUCCAUUCCAAAAAGGAGUACUACGGAAGUAAUUACUUUGAAAGAAAAGUGAUAAUACGUUUUUGGAGAAAGGUGGAAAUGAAGCAAGGCCCUGAAUAUAUUACCAGGAUGCAUAUUACACUGAAUGAAAUCAUCCAUUGCCCUUCCAGAUCUACCCCAUGGAUGCAGAGCAAGAGCAACCCGUCUUUGUUCAGCAUCCCAGGAGACAGUCCUCUAUUGACAGCGUCAGUCUGGCUCAUUUGCCCUCUGAUUUCCCAUUAAAUGUGGCCAGUGGGAGGCCCCAGCAGAUGGAAGGCCAGGAGGAUGAAGGGCCUGCAGCAUUUGUUCUCCUAGCUCCCACCCUGCCAGGCCUCUGUCUGACAGUGGCUCACGCUUUUCCACAGCUACUGUCAGGUGGCCUCUCCCAAAGUGACAGUGCUCACUUGGUUCUGUAAGGGUUUUCUCCAUUGCCUCUUGCCAGGGAGGGUAAUAGCUUCCUAGGACCAGAUGCCAGCACCUGAGGGUGCCCACCACCCCAUGCUGUUUCCCUUAACCCUGCCUACACCUUCAAGAAUUGAAACUCUUUGCAGCCUUCCUUUUUUUUUUAAAAAAAAGGUACCGUCGAUUUCCUAAAGGACCGUGAGUGAUAUACACUUAGAGAUUCUUUUGUCAUGUUACUUUCCAUAGCUCAAUGUGGUUGUUAUCCACAUUAUACAAAGAACAUAAUACCUACCUUAAAUUUUUAAUAUUUUGUCUUUAUUCUUCAACUCUGUGUAGCAUUUCCUUCUGGUUAAGAACAUGCAGAUAAUCCAAAUAAACAGAUUUGACUAAAAGAAAAAAAAAG